CUGUGCUAUCAGUGAAGGGAAGCUGAAAUCCUUAAGGAUGCUUUCCUGCCCUUGUGACAACAACCUUCUGAAGGCCUUUCUUGAGACAGAAAAUGAUAAAGAUUCUUUCUAGGACCAAAACUACUAGAGUUUCUUGUGGUGCAAAGUCUGCUGAGACAGAUAAACAGUGCUGAAGAAGCAGAGUAAGAGGAGAGUGAGCUUGAACAACAUGGGGUGCAUCUGGAGACCUCUGAGGCUACUGCUGGGAUCAAGGAAUUAAAGCUGGCAUGGCGUCAAAGAAGAUGGAAACACCUGCAGGCCUUCAGAAAGGAGAAAGAAGUGGGAGGUUUGGGAAUAAAGACAAAACGUGUCAGGCCUGCCACUGGAGAUGUGUAUUUGCCAGAGGGGGCAUCUUGUGUGGAGGAACCUCUGUUCAUUGUUACCAAGAACAGAAGACCUGAAGUCAUCCAGAACUCCCUAUGUUCACCACAGUCAAAACAAGCGGAAACAGCAGUGCUGAACUGUCAAAAUAUACUGUGGGAAAAGGCAAAGAAGACACCUUGAGGUAUUUUAUGUUCACUGAGUCCAGUGGAAAUGAUAGCAGUGAUGGGAAGAGGAAUAACGAGGAUUGUUAUGUACAGCUGAACAUCGCAGACAAAAGUGCAGAUGUUGCAAUUUUCUUCUUAAUAAUGAAGUGGGCAAAAAGCAAGGAGCUGAUAGACAGCAUAUGUAUAUUCUCUGAAUCUGCAGUACCCGCUCAAAUUUAAGGCAGAAGCAUUGAAGGAAAAACAUUGUGAAGAGACUGAGUAAAACCUGUCAUGUACUGGGGACUUUUUACAAAAGGACGGUGUUUACAUGAACAGUAAGGACCAGAUGGCACAACACUUCUGAAAAGAUUUUGCUCUCCGUUCUUUUUUGCUGGCUCUGGGUAUUUUUCAGCAGCUGCUGUGGAAGUGUUCUCUGUGUAAAUAAAGUUGUGGCAUUGACAAUGGGCAGUUUAAGACUGCAGGACAUUCCCAUGGCCUCUGUAGCUCUAGAUGGUAUUUUUUCCCUG
This is a long non-coding RNA of Oxyura jamaicensis (ruddy duck), 1033 nucleotides long. RefSeq lists it as uncharacterized. Lineage: Eukaryota; Metazoa; Chordata; Aves; Anseriformes; Anatidae. The record is from RefSeq and is a predicted model, not a curated record. The transcript has 7 exons.